UAUUUUCUUGAGGCAGAGUGAACAAGAUUUAAUUGGGGGUAAUGACCAUGUAUAGUCUGUACUCCUCCAAUCUAGAAUACUUUCCGAAGUUAAAGGGGGCACUGUUAAUUACACUGGGAGAAGAGGAGUAAAAUUAGACUGUCCUAAGCCAACCUCGAGUGGUCAUCCUAAGGUUAAUGGUUAAGAGAAGUCAAAACUGCUUUAGGACCUGGUAAAAGUAAAUGGAAGUGGCAAUGAUGGAAACAGGGACUUGGGAAGACACUGGUUUUAGGGAGAAGAUGGCUGUAGCAGUCCCAGGUGUCAUAUGGUUGGGACAACAUCGACAGGCAGGAGCAAACCACCCCAGAGGCUUCAUAGCAGGCCACUCCUUUGGUGCUCAGCUAUCUCAGGAACUCAGUUGGCACUCAGAGGCCUCCAUAAAUCCACAGACAGCUUCCCUGCCUUUCCCUUACAAGUGUAAUCCACUGCUUACUGAUUGACUUGUCAUCUCCAUGGAAGAUGUACCUCUCUAGGCCUGACCCUUCUCUGGAGGGGAAAACACUUCUUUCCCACAUCAGAUGUUUCUUAAAGUAUGGAGGGGGUGCCACUAACAUAACACUCGAUACCUCAUUCCAGCGCUUCUAACAAGUUUCCUGAUGUGGCAUUCUGGGAACAAAACCUACCCUUUACCAGUGGCCCCACGAGAUUCCACAAAGGAGGUGAAAUCAGUAUUGAAGUGGCCUUAUGAAGAUGGGAGCAGGACUACCCUAACUGACUGCUGACUUCUUACCCAAGGGGGAUAACCAUGUCCUAAGGUGAUCUCAGCGGGACCCACACUGUGGUUAUAAGUGAACAGGGUGUGUUCACGGAGUUGAUACAAACAACACGGGAUCUGGCAUCGGACAUCCUUCACACAAAACCUGCCUUACCAUAUAUUAAUGGAGUGACUUGGCGAAGCUACUUAACUUCCUUCAGCUUCAGUUUCUUCAUUUGUAAAAUAGGAAUGAAAACAUCUUCCCCAGAGAUUGCACAUGAAGAUGAAGUGAGGCAACAUAGUAACCACUUGCAUGAGUUACCUUACACAGGAGGUCCUGGUAAGGAAUGUGGAACCAACAAGCUACUACCAACCAGAAGAAUUCAGGAAAGGUCAAAAGGAGAGAGGAGAAUCCAGUCCAUAUGUCCUGCCAACCUCCCAGAAUCCUUCUCGCUGGACUCCAUCUUGGCUGAGUGAUGUGCGUGCCACCAGGAAGGGCCCUGAGUCAGAAUGAUUGACCAGAGACGACCCGGAAACUAACCCCAUUCCCAUAAUACCCGAGACUGUGAGCCACGUGGCAGAGCAGUCCUCUGGGGUUCCCUAACCCUCCUGCUCUCCACUCGGGUGCCCCUUCCCAAUAAAGUCUCUUGCUUUGUCAGCAAGUGUGUCUCAGACAGUUCAUUUCUGAGUGUUAGACAAGAGCCCACUCUCGGUCCCUGGAAGGGGUCCCCUUCCUGCAACAAAUGGCUACUCUGGUGAGGCCUCUUCUUUGCUAUGACUGACAUCCUGACCACUUGGGGUACUCAGAGACCAGCUUGCCUGCCGACGGAUCAGACCCAGUGGCUGCAACUGGGACCUUUUUGUCCCUGGUCUCCUCCUGACGUGGACGACUGGCCAGAAUGCCCCGACUGGGUAAGGAACAAGAGACUUUAUUGACCUCUUUUCCCUUCCCUCUUUUCAACGCCUCCUAUCUUACCCUUUUUAUUUCUGUCCUGGUCCUGGACACAAGAGUCUGGUUGAAGGGCCUCAGCCUAAUCCGAGGGUUGGAGUCUGAUCACCUCUGGUAAGCAGAGAACUCGAAUUCUCGUUCUGGUCCGGUAUCUGGUAUCUAGUUUCUGGUAGGGCCGAGUUCCCGUCCUUCCUUCCUGGAAGCCCAGGGAAAAGUCCCGUAAUGCCUGGGCAUCUGCAGGUGGCAGGAGAUGUCUGUAAGGCCACCCCCUUUUUCCCCCACUCCCCUCAUCUUUCAAUCUGGCCUCCUUUCCUCCCUUUGAAAUCUUUGAAGACCUAAGGUAUUUCCGUUUACUCUGUUAGUACUUGGAUCUGAAGUUCUGUGUCUCUGUAGGAGGUUUUCUGAGAGACUGCAAUCUUGUAUUUAAGGGAGUGUCUGAUUAGGACAGCCAGUCCUGUGUGUGUUUUAUACUUUGUAUUCUGUGUUGUGAUUUGUGAUGGCCAUUCUGCCUUGUGAAACGGGAAAUUCUGGUUCUGUUAAGCUAUGAGAUCUCUGGUUGUGUUUGUCUAUAUGUCUGUGUGCAUUAUAUAUAUUAUAUAUGUCCGUCCUUUUGGAUGGUAUUAUCAAAAUUUGUCAAUGAGCUCUACUUAAUUGGCUUAGAGGAAGUUAAGUGCUUAUAUAAAUUCUGGAAAAUAUAGAAUAUAACUGGCCAGAAUUAAUUUCAGGUUCAUGUGAAUUGGGAAAUAUUCAGUAUUAAAUUAAUAUCUGGUAUUAAACAUAGUUUAAGUUUGUUAAUCUAAUUAAUAUGGGCAUGUCUUUAGAGUCAUCAACAUUAAGUAUAACACCUUUAUUGUACCUAGGUUUAAUAGAAAUUAGAGACAUCAAUUACUAAACAGAGAAACUACAGGUAUUUAAGACUAUUAGUGAAUAUGUUUGGUGCCACCCUGAGAUGUUCUCUAUAAGAAAACAAAUGAUUUUAGAAAUCAUCACUGGUAUUUAUGUUUACCAAUCUACAGAGUGCUAAUGUAAAAGACAGUUCAUAAUUGCUUACUUCUUAGUUUUCACUAGAAAUUAAGAUUUGAGGACUCAUUUAAACAUAUAAUUAGGGCUAAUAAAAAUAAUAAAGGAAGCAUUUCAGUAUGCAGUAGGAAAGUAGGAUAUGUGUUUUCAGUGAAGAAGGUAUGAGGAAUGGAAUUACAUUUUAAUAAGGGAAAAGUAAGUGAGUCUGUCAUAGAGCUGGUUCUGGAUGGAGAAGAAAAUGGGGGAUAGACUAAUAAGGUUAAAGAAAGUGAUGGAGGAGGGUUUGUGGAUGUCAGGAUUGACUAAGUUUAAAAUAAAUUUAAUUGGGUAAAUGAAUUUUAGAAGUAAGCUGAUGUAAAACUUGAAUUUGGCUUUUCUCUCUGUUAAGAGACAAGUUUUCUUAAAAUGUUGAGCUGCCUUUGAUAACAGAUUUUAAGUUUCUUUACCUUUUAAGUGAUCUGUUCUGUAUUUGUCUUUGAAAUCUUCUGUCACUUUGGCUAAGUGAGUAACUAUUGUUUCACAGUGACUAUGAUCCUAUCUGACUGAGUGUUCUAAACCCUUUUUGAUAUUUUUUUGAUAAAACUUCCCAAAUCAAAUUGUAAUGAAGUUUCAUUGACCUCUAGCUAACUUUGCAAUGCUUCAAAGGGCUCCUGAAACAUCCCAAAGAGAGAUAUUAAACUAAUUAAGUUCAUUUUAUAUGUUAAAUUACAUGAGAAGUAUUGUCAAAUG
This is a long non-coding RNA of Balaenoptera acutorostrata (minke whale), 3431 nucleotides long. RefSeq lists it as uncharacterized. The record is from RefSeq and is a predicted model, not a curated record. NCBI's taxonomy places the organism in Eukaryota, Metazoa, Chordata, Mammalia, Artiodactyla, Balaenopteridae. The transcript is spliced from 6 exons.